UGGACAAGGCGGCUGGCGGUA
This 21-nucleotide unclassified non-coding RNA is filed under the name Chlamydomonas reinhardtii. RNAcentral's name for it is "small RNA Cre_3221". The record is from RNAcentral. Lineage: Eukaryota; Viridiplantae; Chlorophyta; Chlorophyceae; Chlamydomonadales; Chlamydomonadaceae.